CUUCCUCUUCUACCUGGACCGGAUCCACCACAGGUGAGCCUCUCAGUAAUCCUGGCGGCUGCCCAGCCCUGCUACUCUCCGACUCGUCAUCAGUCAUAGGAUGCCUCUUGCCAUCUGACUGCUGAUCUCGGCUCCUUGUCUGUAGUUUGAGCCUUUUCUGCAUCUGUUUCAACAGUGACUCCUCACGACUAAGCCUCCUGCCCACAGUGUAACUCUCCCCACCAUCCCUGUUGCUCUAGUCUUUCCAAAGCUUUAAAAAAAU
This 262-nucleotide long non-coding RNA is filed under the name Bos indicus x Bos taurus (hybrid cattle). RNAcentral's name for it is "lncRNA (ENSBIXG00005005259.1)". The record is from RNAcentral. Lineage: Eukaryota; Metazoa; Chordata; Mammalia; Artiodactyla; Bovidae.